CAGCAGCCGCGGUAAUACGAAGGGUGCAAGCGUUAAUCGGAAUUACUGGGCGUAAAGCGUGCGUAGGCGGUUUGUUAAGUCAGAUGUGAAAUCCCGAGCUUAACUUGGGAACUGCAUUUGAAACUGGCAAGCUAGAGUCUUGUAGAGGGGGGUAGAAUUCCAGGUGUAGCGGUGAAAUGCGUAGAGAUCUGGAGGAAUACCGGUGGCGAAGGCGGCCCCCUGGACAAAGACUGACGCUCAGGUGCGAAAGCGUGGGGAGCAAACAGGAUUAGAUACCCCGGUAGUCCCUGUCUUUAUACAC
RNAcentral lists this ribosomal RNA (301 nucleotides) under uncultured bacterium. RNAcentral's name for it is "partial 16S ribosomal RNA". It matches the Rfam family "Bacterial small subunit ribosomal RNA", at positions 509 to 810 of the family's 1533-position model. The record is from RNAcentral.